GGAGAGUUGCCAGAGUGGUCGAAUGGGAUACACUGCUAAUGUAUUGACCGGGUAACCGGUCCGAGGGUUCGAAUCCCUCACUCUCCGCCA
RNAcentral lists this transfer RNA (90 nucleotides) under Candidatus Peribacter sp. Its description in RNAcentral is "tRNA-Ser". It matches the Rfam family "tRNA". From Rfam's summary of the family: Transfer RNA (tRNA) molecules are approximately 80 nucleotides in length. The record is from RNAcentral. Lineage: Bacteria; Candidatus Peregrinibacteriota; Candidatus Peribacteria; Candidatus Peribacterales.